Molecule: unclassified non-coding RNA, 24 nt
Filed under: Arabidopsis thaliana (thale cress)
Lineage: Eukaryota; Viridiplantae; Streptophyta; Magnoliopsida; Brassicales; Brassicaceae
Source: RNAcentral
UGGCAAACCAGAGCUCUACGGAAA